AGUGGCAGACGGGUGAGUAACGCGUGGGAACGUACCUUUUGGUUCGGAACAACUGAGGGAAACUUCAGCUAAUACCGGAUAAGCCCUUACGGGGAAAGAUUUAUCGCCGAAAGAUCGGCCCGCGUCUGAUUAGCUAGUUGGUGAGGUAAUGGCUCACCAAGGCGACGAUCAGUAGCUGGUCUGAGAGGAUGAUCAGCCACAUUGGGACUGAGACACGGCCCAAAUUUAUACGGGAGGCAGCAGUGGGGAAUAUUGGACAAUGGGGGCAACCCUGAUCCAGCCAUGCCGCGUGAGUGAUGAAGGCCCUAGGGUUGUAAAGCUCUUUUGUGCGGGAAGAUAAUGACGGUACCGCAAGAAUAAGCCCCGGCUAACUUCGUGCCAGCAGCCGCGGUAAUACGAAGGGGGCUAGCGUUGCUCGGAAUCACUGGGCGUAAAGGGUGCGUAGGCGGGUUUCUAAGUCAGAGGUGAAAGCCUGGAGCUCAACUCCAGAACUGCCUUUGAUACUGGAAGUCUUGAGUAUGGCAGAGGUGAGUGGAACUGCGAGUGUAGAGGUGAAAUUCGUAGAUAUUCGCAAGAACACCAGUGGCGAAGGCGGCUCACUGGGCCAUUACUGACGCUGAGGCACGAAAGCGUGGGGAGCAAACAGGAUUAGAUACCCUGGUAGUCCACGCCGUAAACG
Molecule: ribosomal RNA, 679 nt
Filed under: Rhodopseudomonas palustris
Lineage: Bacteria; Pseudomonadati; Pseudomonadota; Alphaproteobacteria; Hyphomicrobiales; Nitrobacteraceae
Description: bacterial SSU rRNA
Rfam family: Bacterial small subunit ribosomal RNA
Source: RNAcentral